AGUGAACGCUGGCGGUAGGCCUAACACAUGCAAGUCGAACGGCAGCACAGUAAGAGCUUGCUCUUACGGGUGGCGAGUGGCGGACGGGUGAGGAAUACAUCGGAAUCUACUUUUUCGUGGGGGAUAACGUAGGGAAACUUACGCUAAUACCGCAUACGACCUACGGGUGAAAGCAGGGGAUCUUCGGACCUUGCGCGAUUGAAUGAGCCGAUGUCGGAUUAGCUAGUUGGCGGGGUAAAGGCCCACCAAGGCGACGAUCCGUAGCUGGUCUGAGAGGAUGAUCCGCCCCACUGGAACUGGGACACGGUCCAGACUCCUACGGGAGGCAGCAGUGGGGAAUAUUGGACAAUGGGCGCAAGCCUGAUCCAGCCAUACCGCGUGGGUGAAGAAGGCCUUCGGGUUGUAAAGCCCUUUUGUUGGGAAAGAAAAGCAGCAGGUUAAUACCCCGCUGUUCUGACGGUACCCAAAGAAUAAGCACCGGCUAACUUCGUG
Molecule: ribosomal RNA, 492 nt
Filed under: uncultured bacterium
Lineage: Bacteria
Description: partial 16S ribosomal RNA
Rfam family: Bacterial small subunit ribosomal RNA
Source: RNAcentral